CCAAAACCCUUGAGGCGACUGAUCUGAGCCCUAUAUAAGUGUCUGUGAGAAUUGAGAAUACGAAGGACCUCCAAGUUUGUCAGCCAGUACUUGCAAGAAACCAUCUUUAACGAUUUAAAAUGAAGGUUGCCGUCGUCGUUGUUCUGUGCGCCCUCGUUGCUGUCAGCCAAGCUGGCCUUAUCUCCCCAGGCUACGGCUAUGGUGGAUACGGCUACGGCAUUGGCGGCAUUGGUGGUCUCGGUGGUCUUGGUGGUCUUGGCGGCAUUGGAGGCAUUGGCGGUCUAGGUGGCUUUGGAGGUCUCGGCGGCUACGGUGGUUUUGGAGGCUUUGGAGGACUUGGCGGCUAUGGAGGUUUUGGCGGCUAUGGCGGGCUCGGAGGCUUCAAAGGAUACUACAAAGGUUACUAUUGAGGAAGCUACGACUAAACAAAAAAUAGCAGUCAAAACCGAUCGAGCCAGAAGAUUCUUCUUCUUAAAGGCUGACAACAGUUGAUUACGAAUAAUGUGAAAUCAAUAAAAAUCAAAAUUUUAAAAA
Long non-coding RNA from Pomacea canaliculata, 534 nucleotides. RefSeq lists it as uncharacterized. The record is from RefSeq and is a predicted model, not a curated record. Lineage: Eukaryota; Metazoa; Mollusca; Gastropoda; Architaenioglossa; Ampullariidae. The transcript is spliced from 3 exons.